Molecule: ribosomal RNA, 497 nt
Filed under: uncultured bacterium
Lineage: Bacteria
Description: partial 16S ribosomal RNA
Rfam family: Bacterial small subunit ribosomal RNA
Source: RNAcentral
GAUGAACGCUGGCGGCGUGCCUAAUACAUGCAAGUCGAGCGAACGGACGAGAAUCUUGCUUCUCUGAUGUUAGCGGCGGACGUGUGAGUAACACGUGUAUAACCUACCUAUAAUACUGGGAUAACUUCGGGAAACCGGCGCUUAUACCGUAUAAUAUUUUGCACCGCAUGGUUCAAAAGUGAAAUACGGUCUUUCUGUCUCUUAUAGAUGGAUCCGCGCUGCAUUAGCUAGUUGUUAAGGUAACGGCUUACCAAGGCGACGAUGCAUAGCCGACCUGAGAGGGGGAUCGGCCACACUGGAAGGGAGACACGGUCAAGACUCCUACGGGAGGCAGCAGUAGGGAAUCGUACGCAAUGGGCGAAAGCAUGACGGAGCAACGGCGCGUGAGAGAUGAAGGUCUUCGGAUCGUAAAAAUCUGUUAUUAGGGAAGAACAGAUGUGUAAGGAAAUGAGCACAGAGUGACGGUAACGAAUCAGAAAGCAACGGCUAACUACGUG